UCAAACUUGGUCUUCUCUUACAUCAAUUUCCUGAGCAUUGGGAUUGCAAAUGUGUGACACCAUUCCAGACUUCAAUGUCCAUUUUUAAUAAGAUUAAAAGGUGAAAUGGUGACUAGAGAAAAUUGACCGCAUUUCAAGGAAAUGGCCCAAAGUGACUGAGGAAGUCUUUUCAACCUUGCAAACUGCCAAAGAAUUUUAAAAGAGUUGAACAUCAAAAGAGGAGGAAAAAUAUGUUAUAAUUACAAGCUUACUGAAGUCAACAUUAUAAUUAGGGAAGAAGAUAUCAAAUAAAUUUUCUCCUUCCAAAACAAACAUUAAUGAAGUAUUUCUAUCUACCUCAAAUAUUUGCCAGCAAAGGAUCCUGCCAUGAAGUCCCAGUGCAUCAAAGGAACUAGUGCAAAUCAACAGGUAUUGCAAAAGGAAAGGUUGGUGUAUUCUGGGACUUCAAAAACCGAACCAAUACCCAUUUCUUUGUAGAUUGUCUUACACCCAAUUACACUUGUGCAGCACUAUUUUUUCAAUAAAAUCAGGUAUUUCUUUGUU
Molecule: long non-coding RNA, 543 nt
Filed under: Rattus norvegicus (Norway rat)
Lineage: Eukaryota; Metazoa; Chordata; Mammalia; Rodentia; Muridae
Description: long non-coding RNA NONRATT008293
Source: RNAcentral